GGCAAUGGCAGGCUUUAAGCCCCUCUCCCUCCCGGCUCGCCCGCAGCCUUCCUGAGGGGGUGAAGCAGCUCUGUCGCCUCGCCAUCGCCGCCUCUUGGAGGCAGUUCAUCACCGCCGUCGCCUGAGGAUAAGGGGAAGAAGGAGGACAAAGAAGAAAGUGUUUGAAAACCCUCAACUGGGAAAAGAAAAACACUUCCCCUUGAAGACCAACAGAUGUCUUUGCCGAU
Pogoniulus pusillus (Red-fronted tinkerbird) is the source of this 227-nucleotide long non-coding RNA. RefSeq lists it as uncharacterized. The transcript has 3 exons. NCBI's taxonomy places the organism in Eukaryota, Metazoa, Chordata, Aves, Piciformes, Lybiidae. The record is from RefSeq and is a predicted model, not a curated record.